AGAGUUUGAUUAUGGCUCAGGAUGAACGCUAGCUACAGGCUUAACACAUGCAAGUCGAGGGGCAGCAUUGGAGUAGCAAUACUCAGAUGGCGACCGGCGCACGGGUGAGUAACACGUAUCCAACCUGCCGCUUACUCGGGGAUAGCCUUUCGAAAGAAAGAUUAAUACCCGAUGGUAUAAAGAGUUCGCAUGUUCUCUUUAUUAAAGAAUUUCGGUAAGCGAUGGGGAUGCGUUCCAUUAGAUAGUUGGCGAGGUAACGGCCCACCAAGUCUACGAUGGAUAGGGGUUCUGAGAGGAAGGUCCCCCACAUUGGAACUGAGACACGGUCCAAACUCCUACGGGAGGCAGCAGUGAGGAAUAUUGGUCAAUGGACGAGAGUCUGAACCAGCCAAAGUAGCGUGAAGGAUGACUGCCCUAUGGGUUGUAAACUUCUUUUAUAAGGGAAUAAAGUGAGGGACGUGUCCCUUUUUGUAUGUACCUUAUGAAUAAGGAUCGGCUAACUCCGUGCCAGCCGCGGC
RNAcentral lists this ribosomal RNA (518 nucleotides) under uncultured bacterium. Its description in RNAcentral is "bacterial SSU rRNA". It matches the Rfam family "Bacterial small subunit ribosomal RNA", at positions 8 to 518 of the family's 1533-position model. The record is from RNAcentral.